Non-coding RNA from Punica granatum (pomegranate), 3930 nucleotides. The record is from RefSeq and is a predicted model, not a curated record. Lineage: Eukaryota; Viridiplantae; Streptophyta; Magnoliopsida; Myrtales; Lythraceae.
CUUAGCUGGCAACGAAAAAAAAAAAACCCUAAGGCUCGAGGGAAAAAAAGAAAGAAAAAGAAAACCCUAGAGGCUCCUCCAGCUCCCUCACGCCGCCUCGAGCACCUUCCGAUGGACUCCCUCAGCUUGACUCUGAUCGAAACGAACCCUCAGCUCAGUCUUCUCUCCCUCUCAACGGACCGGAGCUUUGGUUUUCCCGGAGUCUCUCUCCUUCUCGCGGCCAGGACAACACAGACCGCCAGUGCUCCUCCCUUGCACCCACCGAGUUACUGCCCUACUCGACUUCAGUCUUUGUCGCCACUGCCCUGAAACCUUCAGCUGCCUCUCACUCUUCUCUCUCAACACCGUCGACUUCUUCUCGAGAGCUAAGUUUUCUUCCCGUUCCCUCUAUACUCUGGGCAGCAUUGGGUUGUAGCCUUAAGAGAUUUGUUUUAAUCAUCUUUACCUCACGAAAUGAAUUGCCUUCAUGUCUAGAUGUUUUAAGGACACCUUCCCUUUGCUUCUCAUGUCGUUUUGAUCUCGUUAAAGUAGAUUUCGUGUACUUACUGUGACACCCGAGUGCAUGGCUGAGAUGCAAGUUAAAGUUUUCUACUCGAUUUAUGGUCAUUGCAUUUGAUUUUGUUGGGAUGAGAUGGUACUAGAACUACGGACUGAGUAGAGUGAUGAUUCAUGGGUCAAUAUUAGCAUGUUUGGCAUGAUUUUGAUGAUUCAAUGUUGCAUGUAAGUAUGUGGCUGAGUUACAUGCUGACACUUCGAUUGAUUUUGGGUCAAUCCAUACGAUCUUGAUGACUCCAGAACAUAUAUCUCAUGUAAGCUGAGUUGUGUGCAUUCUCUUGAUCACUUUGAGUAUGUUUGACAUGGUUUUGAUGAGAACGCGUUACGUUUAAUGUAUGGGCUGAGCUGAUUGGCCGCAUUUGAGGGAUCAGAGCGCAUUUCUUUGAUCUUGUUAAUCCAAGAAUAUGUCCAAUAUAAGAGCUUAUUUGUGUAGCUGUUAUUUUCUUCGAUUUAGGAUUUUUUUGCAUGAGUUUGAUGACGCCCGAAUGUGUAGCUCAAUGGGAUGUGCUAAGCGGUGAUAUUUCCUUGAAUGCAGAGAAUGAAUGACACGAAGAAUGGCCGAGACGAGGGAUGGCCAUUCAUGUGAUUGACUUGGAGAUGGGUUCAUGAUAUUAUUUAGUGAAUUUUAUGCGACUUGAGAUGUUUUAUUCGAGUUCGAUAAGUUAUCAUCAUGUCCGAUUUUGUGGCUGAUCUAUAAGUAGAGGUUUGUUGGUCCCAUUGUGGCUUGAAGUGAAUGUUAUAUCAUCUCUUCGGGGUUGUUUUUCCAUGUUUGGUUACGGGAUCUCGAUUAUAGUCGAAGGAAUAUAAUUUUUGUUGAUUUCAAGCUGAUUUUGCCCUAGUGACAGUUCUGAUCCGAAUUUAGUGUUAUAGGCUUUUGAGCUUCAGUUCAAUUUGAAAAAAGACACUUGAUCUAAUAGCAGGCUGAUUGGCUGGCAUGAUUUAUUCGGUGUCUUUGAAAGUUAUUAAAUAAAGAUUGAUGUCAUCCAUUGGUCGUCCAUGAGCAUGCAUUCCUUGGCUUCAUUUUGCUUACGCCUAGCAGCGUUUUACUUGGAUAGGAUCUCUUCUAUUUCUGUGCCAUUUGCCUCCCAAAUUAUAGGAGUGAUCUUGUGAUGCUAUGUUCUUGCCUUGGAAGUCUUGUUUUCACAGUAAGCGCUCCUCGUUGUGUUCUUCUUCUUCCGUACUCCCCUCGUAUUUGUUUCUUGUCUUGCAUGUCUCACGAGAGGAGAAGAAAGGGGAGAUAUAAGAAGAUAUUUGGCCAAUGCCGAUGGAGCUCCAAGACAUGGAGACUUACCUAGGCUUAGGUUGAGUCUCGACUUGAAGGCCGCCCCGGUCCGUGGUAGUCAAGAAUCUUCCGAGCUAGCUCAUCUUGAGAAUCUCUUGGAAUCAGAGACGCCUCACUCAUCCUCUUGCUCGCACCUCGAUAGAGCCCACCAAUCUAUAAGGACCUCACCGACGCGCCACAAGAUGCAUGCCACACGUCUCCUAGGACACCCUUUCCUUCGAGCACAGCCACUAUGAUCGACCUCACCAACACUAGGACCGAUCACUGAGAGAUUGCUGAGAGAUGAGGAACUAGUCGGCCAACCACAACCUCAAAGGGAGCUCGCUCAGACCCACUACAGAAAUCCAAUGCCGCGCUCGCUCAAACUCCGAGUGUGGUGGAAGACUGGCUUAAGGCUUUAUUUUACAAAAUUUACAUUGUACUUUGAUCGUUUUGAGUCAAUGUGAAUGGCGGCAUUAGUUUUGAAAAAACUCAUGCAUCGCAUGUAUCCUACUCAUUUACUGUUUUGUAUAACAGCUAACGUCCCACCAUGCAAGUGAGUGAAGACCUUCUUCGCAGGUAGACCAAUCACGACUUUCACGGCAAGGCAAGCCGUGACCCGAGGGCCGAUCCACCUUCAUUGGCAAAGCUACCUUCUCACUGACCCCGUGCAACUAAGCAUCAUCGCGUGAUCAAGAGCACACGUCUCUUCGCGCAACUGAGCACAUCCACCAGCACAACUGAGUGCGUCCUUCCGCGUCGUGCGAGUAUACCUCCACCUUACCCAUGCACAUACCUCCGGCGCUCGCACGACGCCUACCAGGCUAGUUCGAUCCCCUGCGCCUUUACGUUGAAAUUGCGAACAUAGUUUGCUCCUUCAUCGUUUCCCUUUUCCUAUUGCAGGAGAUAACCGACAAGAAGGCAAUCUGAAUUCUAAAAUCGAGACAGGAAACACUUCUCUGCUACCUCCUCGGAAUCCAAACACUGAGGACCGACCUUCCCUCCACGAAAGAUCACAAGCGACAGUUCCAACGAACAUAGCAUGUCCCAACCCACUCGCCACGGGGCUUGCAGCACGAUCACACUGCCGAUGGAAGAAUGAGCCCAACCUUCCCUCCACGAAAGAUCACAGGCGACAGCUCCAACGAACAUAGCAUGUCCCAGCCCACCGCCACGAGGCUUCCAGCAUGAUCACACUGCCGAUUGAAUAAUGGGCUCACCCCACCCUCCGCUAUGGUCAUCGACCUGCUACCGGGGCAACACACACUCUCAUUCAAAUGCUCUUUUACAUUUAUUCGCAUUUCCAAACAAGCUCUCGGCAUGAAUGAACCAUUCAAGGGGCACUUGAACAGUCUCAAAGACGCCCUAUUGGUUUUGUCGGACCUGUCCGAUUCGCAUGUCCCAAUGGGACUCGGCUCCUCGAGCUUUUCCUAGGACGGUUGCGCAGACCAACCCGCAAUCGGGGAAAGUACAACUAUGCGUUUCCCAAUCACAAUCUAAUCGCUCCAGCGUGGCGAUGACCGGACUCCCGAAAUUGAGUGUCCCCCACGCGCGGCACCCCAUGGGCCGCGCGCUGGAUGAGGGAACUUCCCAUGGGUCCACCUUACAUUUCUUACCACAUAUUUCACCGAAUAAUCACCUAAUACAUCAUCUUCUUUGUCAUCCUUCACAGGGGCACGCCAGCUACAAGCGAAGAGCGAUACACGGGUUCACAUCUCCACGAGAACUCCUAUCGGGUCUCUUCGACAGGAAAGAGGCUUGAUACGGAAGUACCCUUCUUUUAACGAAGCCGAAGACAAAAACGACUGAGUGAGCCACAUGUUGUCAACCCAACCAUCUUAGUCGAUAGCAAGCAUGGCCCCUGAAGCAAAACACGUAUGCCGACUUCAAGAGCGCCUAUCCUCAUAGAGGCACCCUCCACGGGAGCGAUAAGACACGGUCAGGAAUGACGUCCGACGCAGACCACGAAGACCGGGGCAUCCGCGUUCAACACUCAUGCAGGGGCAACCUCGGUCACCUGUACCCCAGGGCAAAUCUUAUUCUUAUUCUUAUAUGAUAAGGGAAAUCAUUUGUAAAGUUUGCAAGGACGAGCAACACGAAGUUCGGCUUCCGAA